GGAGAGAUGGCAGAGUGGUCGAAUGCGCACUACUCGAAAUCGUGUAGGGGCCUAAUCCGUCCCUCCUGGGUUCAAAUCCCAGUCUCUCCGCCA
This 93-nucleotide transfer RNA is filed under the name Candidatus Wallbacteria bacterium. RNAcentral describes it as "tRNA-Ser". It matches the Rfam family "tRNA". From Rfam's summary of the family: Transfer RNA (tRNA) molecules are approximately 80 nucleotides in length. Their secondary structure includes four short double-helical elements and three loops (D, anti-codon, and T loops). Further hydrogen bonds mediate the characteristic L-shaped molecular structure. tRNAs have two regions of fundamental functional importance: the anti-codon, which is responsible for specific mRNA codon recognition, and the 3' end, to which the tRNAs corresponding amino acid is attached (by aminoacyl-tRNA synthetases). tRNAs cope with the degeneracy of the genetic code in two manners: having more than one tRNA (with a specific anti-codon) for a particular amino acid; and 'wobble' base-pairing, i.e. permitting non-standard base-pairing at the 3rd anti-codon position. Lineage: Bacteria; Candidatus Walliibacteriota. The record is from RNAcentral.